This 253-nucleotide ribosomal RNA is filed under the name uncultured bacterium. RNAcentral describes it as "partial 16S ribosomal RNA". It matches the Rfam family "Bacterial small subunit ribosomal RNA", at positions 524 to 776 of the family's 1533-position model. The record is from RNAcentral.
UACGAAGGGGGCUAGCGUUGCUCGGAAUCACUGGGCGUAAAGCGCACGUAGGCGGACUCUUAAGUCGGUGGUGAAAUCCUGGAGCUCAACUCCAGAACUGCCUUCGAUACUGAGAGUCUCGAGUCCGGGAGAGGUGAGUGGAACUGCGAGUGUAGAGGUGAAAUGCGCAGAUAUCAGGAGGAACACCAAUGGCGAAGGCAGCACUCUGGGACGUGACUGACGCUGAGACGCGAAAGCGUGGGGAGCAAACAGG